This 469-nucleotide ribosomal RNA is filed under the name uncultured bacterium. Its description in RNAcentral is "partial 16S ribosomal RNA". It matches the Rfam family "Bacterial small subunit ribosomal RNA", at positions 28 to 507 of the family's 1533-position model. The record is from RNAcentral.
GACGAACGCUGGCGGCGUGCUUAACACAUGCAAGUCGAACGGUGAAGCGAGUGCUUGCACUCGUGGGUCAGUGGCGAACGGGUGAGUAACACGUGAGUAACCUGCCCAUCACUCUGGGAUAAGCACUGGAAACGGUGUCUAAUACUGGAUACGACCAACCCUUGCAUGGGGUGUUGGUGGAAAGAUUUAUCGGUGAUGGAUGGACUCGCGGCCUAUCAGCUUGUUGGCGGGGUAAUGGCCCACCAAGGCGACGACGGGUAGCCGGCCUGAGAGGGUGACCGGCCACACUGGGACUGAGACACGGCCCAGACUCCUACGGGAGGCAGCAGUGGGGAAUAUUGCACAAUGGGCGAAAGCCUGAUGCAGCGACGCCGCGUGAGGGAUGACGGCCUUCGGGUUGUAAACCUCUUUCAGCAGGGAAGAAGCGAAAGUGACGGUACCUGCAGAAGAAGCACCGGCUAACUACGUG